CCAGUAUCCAAGACCCUGACCCCAUGGAAGGGACCUCAGCAGCUGCAAAUUCCUCAAGCCUCCCUCCUCCAUCCCGAAGGCUAUCACAGAUAAGGCGUCGUAAAAAGAAGAUGUGAGACGAGAUGUUUGCAGAAAUUAUGGAAUCCAGCUGCAGUGACAGAGCUCAUCUGAAUGAGUGGAAGGAAACGGUUUCAAAGUAUAGGAAAGAAGCCAGUGAACGUGAGGACAGGAGGGACCAAUGUGAGGACAUGAGGGACCAACGUGAGGACAGGAGGGACCAACGUGAGGAGAGGAGAGACGCUCGAGAUGAGAGGUGGCGGCAGGAAGAUCAGAGGAGGCAGGAUGCAACGCUGGGGCUGCUGCGUGAGCAAACAGACAUGCUCCGGCGUCUGGUGGAGCUUCAGGAACGGCUGCAGGAAAACAGACUGCCGCUACAGCCCCUGUACCCCCCUCCCCCCUCCCCAUGUUCCAUGUCCUCCUCACCCAGACGUGUAAGAACGCGGGGGGGGGGGAGGCUCCGUACACCUUCCCAUUCCACCCCAGUGGACAGCCCAAGCAAAAGGCUGUCAUUUUUUAAACCUUUUUUUAGUGGCCUUUUCCUUCCCACCGAUCCUCCUCCCAAAUCCCACCCGGGUUCCCUCCCUCUUUUUCUAAUCUAUUAAUAAAGAAUAAAUGAUUUUUAAAUGA
Molecule: long non-coding RNA, 687 nt
Organism: Malaclemys terrapin pileata
Lineage: Eukaryota; Metazoa; Chordata; Testudines; Emydidae
Exons: 2
Source: RefSeq, a predicted model, not a curated record